Molecule: ribosomal RNA, 234 nt
Filed under: Escherichia coli
Lineage: Bacteria; Pseudomonadati; Pseudomonadota; Gammaproteobacteria; Enterobacterales; Enterobacteriaceae
Description: partial 16S ribosomal RNA
Rfam family: Bacterial small subunit ribosomal RNA
Source: RNAcentral
UGCCAUCGGAUGUGCCCAGAUGGGAUUAGCUAGUAGGUGGGGUAACGGCUCACCUAGGCGACGAUCCCUAGCUGGUCUGAGAGGAUGACCAGCCACACUGGAACUGAGACACGGUCCAGACUCCUACGGGAGGCAGCAGUGGGGAAUAUUGCACAAUGGGCGCAAGCCUGAUGCAGCCAUGCCGCGUGUAUGAAGAAGGCCUUCGGGUUGUAAAGUACUUUCAGCGGGGAGGAA